RNAcentral lists this ribosomal RNA (468 nucleotides) under uncultured bacterium. RNAcentral describes it as "partial 16S ribosomal RNA". It matches the Rfam family "Bacterial small subunit ribosomal RNA", at positions 28 to 507 of the family's 1533-position model. The record is from RNAcentral.
GACGAACGCUGGCGGCGUGCUUAACACAUGCAAGUCGAACGGAAAGGCCCUGCUUUUGUGGGGUGCUCGAGUGGCGAACGGGUGAGUAACACGUGAGUAACCUGCCCUUGACUUUGGGAUAACUUCAGGAAACUGGGGCUAAUACCGGAUAGGAGCUCCUGCUGCAUGGUGGGGGUUGGAAAGUUUCGGCGGUUGGGGAUGGACUCGCGGCUUAUCAGCUUGUUGGUGGGGUAGUGGCUUACCAAGGCUUUGACGGGUAGCCGGCCUGAGAGGGUGACCGGCCACAUUGGGACUGCGAUACGGCCCAGACUCCUACGGGAGGCAGCAGUGGGGAAUAUUGCACAAUGGGCGGAAGCCUGAUGCAGCAGCGCCGCGUGCGGGAUGACGGCCUUCGGGUUGUAAACCGCUUUCGCCUGUGACGAAGCGUGAGUGACGGUAAUGGGUAAAGAAGCACCGGCUAACUACGUG